Molecule: ribosomal RNA, 429 nt
Filed under: Pseudomonadota bacterium
Lineage: Bacteria; Pseudomonadati; Pseudomonadota
Description: Proteobacteria bacterium partial 16S ribosomal RNA
Rfam family: Bacterial small subunit ribosomal RNA
Source: RNAcentral
UGGGGAAUUUUGGACAAUGGGCGAAAGCCUGAUCCAGCCAUGCCGCGUGUGUGAAGAAGGUCUUCGGAUUGUAAAGCACUUUAAGUUGGGAGGAAGGGCAGUAAGCGAAUACCUUGCUGUUUUGACGUUACCGACAGAAUAAGCACCGGCUAACUCUGUGCCAGCAGCCGCGGUAAUACAGAGGGUGCAAGCGUUAAUCGGAAUUACUGGGCGUAAAGCGCGCGUAGGUGGUUCGUUAAGUUGAAUGUGAAAGCCCCGGGCUCAACCUGGGAAAUGCAUCCAGAACCGGCGAGGUAGGGUAGGGCAGGGGGUGGUGGAAUUUCCUGUGUAGCGGUGAAAUGCGUAGGUAUAGGGAGGGACAACAGGGGCGGAGGCGGCCACCUGGGCUCAUACUGAAACUGGGGUGCGGAAGGGUGGGGGGGAAACAGG